AGCGGCGGACGGGUGAGUAAUGCCUGGGAAAUUGCCCUGAUGUGGGGGAUAACCAUUGGAAACGAUGGCUAAUACCGCAUAAUAGCUUCGGCUCAAAGAGGGGGACCUUCGGGCCUCUCGCGUCAGGAUAUGCCCAGGUGGGAUUAGCUAGUUGGUGAGGUAAGGGCUCACCAAGGCGACGAUCCCUAGCUGGUCUGAGAGGAUGAUCAGCCACACUGGAACUGAGACACGGUCCAGACUCCUACGGGAGGCAGCAGUGGGGAAUAUUGCACAAUGGGCGCAAGCCUGAUGCAGCCAUGCCGCGUGUAUGAAGAAGGCCUUCGGGUUGUAAAGUACUUUCAGCAGUGAGGAAGGUAGUGCAGUUAAUAGCUGCAUUAUUUGACGUUAGCUGCAGAAGAAGCACCGGCUAACUCCGUGCCAGCAGCCGCGGUAAUACGGAGGGUGCGAGCGUUAAUCGGAAUUACUGGGCGUAAAGCGCAUGCAGGUGGUUUGUUAAGUCAGAUGUGAAAGCCCGGGGCUCAACCUCGGAAUUGCAUUUGAAACUGGCAGA
This 550-nucleotide ribosomal RNA is filed under the name uncultured bacterium. RNAcentral's name for it is "bacterial SSU rRNA". It matches the Rfam family "Bacterial small subunit ribosomal RNA", at positions 94 to 640 of the family's 1533-position model. The record is from RNAcentral.